GACGAACGCUGGCGGCGUGCUUAACACAUGCAAGUCGAGCGGAAAGGCCCUUCGGGGUACUCGAGCGGCGAACGGGUGAGUAACACGUGAGUAACCUGCCCCAGACUUUGGGAUAACCCUCGGAAACGGGGGCUAAUACCGGAUACGACACAGCUUCGCAUGGGGUCUGUGUGGAAAGUUUUUCGGUUUGGGAUGGGCUCGCGGCCUAUCAGCUUGUUGGUGGGGUGAUGGCCUGCCAAGGCGACGACGGGUAGCCGGCCUGAGAGGGCGACCGGCCACACUGGGACUGAGACACGGCCCAGACUCCUACGGGAGGCAGCAGUGGGGAAUAUUGCACAAUGGGCGGAAGCCUGAUGCAGCGACGCCGCGUGAGGGAUGACGGCCUUCGGGUUGUAAACCUCUUUCAGCAGGGACGAAGCGUAAGUGACGGUACCUGCAGAAGAAGCGCCGGCCAACUACGUG
Molecule: ribosomal RNA, 462 nt
Filed under: uncultured bacterium
Lineage: Bacteria
Description: partial 16S ribosomal RNA
Rfam family: Bacterial small subunit ribosomal RNA
Source: RNAcentral